AGAAUCAACGCUGGCGGCGUGCCUAACACAUGCAAGUCGAGCGCGAAAGGGGAGCAAUCCCCAAGUAGAGCGGCGAACGGGUGAGUAACGCGUGGGUAAACUACCUCCGAGUGGGGAACAACAGCGGGAAACUGCUGCUAAUACCGCAUGACAUCGUCGAGCCUUCGGGCAUGACGAUCAAAGCCGGGGACCGCAAGGCCUGGCGCUUGGAGAGGAGCCCGCGUCCGAUUAGCUAGUUGGCGGGGUAAUGGCCCACCAAGGCUCCGAUC
This 269-nucleotide ribosomal RNA is filed under the name uncultured soil bacterium. Its description in RNAcentral is "partial 16S ribosomal RNA". It matches the Rfam family "Bacterial small subunit ribosomal RNA", at positions 26 to 281 of the family's 1533-position model. The record is from RNAcentral.